Molecule: ribosomal RNA, 490 nt
Filed under: uncultured bacterium
Lineage: Bacteria
Description: partial 16S ribosomal RNA
Rfam family: Bacterial small subunit ribosomal RNA
Source: RNAcentral
AUUGAACGCUGGCGGCAGGCCUAACACAUGCAAGUCGAACGGUAACAGGAAACAGCUUGCUGUUUCGCUGACGAGUGGCGGACGGGUGAGUAAUGUCUGGGAAACUGCCUGAUGGAGGGGGAUAACUACUGGAAACGGUAGCUAAUACCGCAUAACGUCGCAAGACCAAAGAGGGGGACCCUCGGGCCUCUUGCCAUCGGAUGUGCCCAGAUGGGAUUUGCUUGUUGGUGGGGUAACGGCUCACCCAGGCGACGAUCCCUAGCUGGUCUGAGAGGAUGAGCAGCCACACUGGAACUGAGGCACGGUCCAGACUCCUACGGGAGGCAGCAGUGGGGAAUAUUGCACAAUGGGCGCAAGCCUGAUGCAGCCAUGCCGCGUGUAUGAAGAAGGCCUUCGGGUUGUAAAGUACUUUCAGCGGGGAGGAAGGGAGUAAAGUUAAUACCUUUGCUCAUUGACGUUACCCGCAGAAGAAGCCCCGGCUAACUCCGUG